This 771-nucleotide ribosomal RNA is filed under the name uncultured bacterium. RNAcentral's name for it is "bacterial SSU rRNA". It matches the Rfam family "Bacterial small subunit ribosomal RNA", at positions 8 to 796 of the family's 1533-position model. The record is from RNAcentral.
AGAGUUUGAUCCUGGCUCAGGACGAACGCUGGCGGCGCGCCUAACACAUGCAAGUCGAGCGAAGAGGCCCCUUCGGGGGUACUUCAGCGGCGGACGGGUGAGUAACACGUGGGUCAUCUGCCCCUGAGUUCGGAAUAACGAUUGGAAACGAUCGCUAAUACCGGAUGUGGCCAUGGCUAAAGACUUCGGUCGCUCAGGGAUGAGCCCGCGGCGGAUUAGGUAGUUGGUGGGGUAAUGGCCUACCAAGCCGACGAUCCGUAGCUGGCCUGAGAGGGUGGUCAGCCACACUGGAACUGAGACACGGUCCAGACUCCUACGGGAGGCAGCAGUUGGGGAUCUUGCACAAUGGGCGAAAGCCUGAUGCAGCGACGCCGCGUGGGUGCUAAGGCCUUCGGGUCGUAAAGCCUUUUUCGGAGGGAAGAACGCCUGGGAUUUUCCCGGGUCUGACAUGAACUCCGGAAUAAGCCCCGGCUAACUACGUGCCAGCAGCCGCGGUAAUACGUAGGGGGCAAGCGUUGUCCGGAAUCACUGGGCGUAAAGAGUCUGUAGGCGGCAGGCUAAGUCGCGCGUGAAAGCCCCAGGCUCAACUUGGGGACUGCGCACGAAACUGGUCAGCUUGAGGACAGGAGAGGCAAGCGGAACGUUGCAAGUAGCGGUGAAAUGCAUUGAUAUGCAACGGAACACCGAUGGCGAAGGCAGCUUGCUGGACUGUUCCUGACGCUGAGAGACGAAAGCCAGGGGAGCGAACGGGAUUAGAUACCCUGGUAGUCC